AAUUUUAUAGGAGAAUUCUGUACAAUUUGAAGGAAAGAAAUAAAAAAGAUCAUCGGUUGUCAUGUAUCCAUGAUUCUUGCAUUUCUCUUCACAACUGCUACCUAAAUAUCAGAUAGUUCUUCUGUGCAUAAAUCAACUUUGGUAGGAUAUUUCUAUUUCUAAGAGGGGAAAAAAAAUAAAAUAUAAAAUACAAGAGUGAGGGUUAUAAAGGCGCAGCCUGCAUUUUGCUCGAGUUUGUGUUGUCUGUCUUCAAUGAUGUUGGUCUAGAUUUGAAUUCUUUUACAACAUGCCACAAGUCCUCCCCCCAGGACCAUUUAGGGUCAUUUAGAGCACGUACAGAAUUGAGGCAAACGAGAAGAGUACCACCUUCAUGUAAUAGAACCGUCAACCAUAGGGGAAGAUAUCCAAAAACAGAUGGAAGAGAAGCCAGAACUAUACAAGUUAAAGCAAGAGCCACAUUUUGCUUGACCAGAGAAGUUGUUUGGCGGGACUUUGCAACACAGAAUGGAACACCAGAUAUAUUGUCUCGCAGCAAUAGGACAUCUGCUACUGCUAUGGCCGUUGCACUUGCACGUUGAGCAAGAACAAUACCUACAGUCGCAGCAGCAAGUGCUGGUGCAUCAUUGAUACCUUCACCUACCAUAAUCAGACCUCCCCCCAUAUCCCUUGAGAUACUCUUCACAUGAUUGAGCUUGUUCUCAGGCUUCAGGCUGUAAUGAACUUCAGUGAUACCCACAGCUCUUGCAACUCUUAGAGCACUCGAUUUGUGAUCACCAGUUAGCAUCAUAACACGGAGCUUUGCUUUAUCCUGUAAUUCUGCUAUGACAUCUGAAACCCCAACUCGAGGUUUAUCCUCAAGGUGAAUCAAUGUUACCUUUUCAU
This 882-nucleotide unclassified non-coding RNA is filed under the name Hevea brasiliensis (rubber tree). The record is from RNAcentral. Lineage: Eukaryota; Viridiplantae; Streptophyta; Magnoliopsida; Malpighiales; Euphorbiaceae.